UUACGGUCAAAUCACGCUGAAAACACCGGUUCUCGUUCGAUCACCGAAGUUAAGCAUCGUAGAGCCAGGUCAGUACUUAGAUGGGGACCGCUUGGGGAACACCUGGUACUGUAAG
Molecule: ribosomal RNA, 115 nt
Filed under: Acanthosepion pharaonis
Lineage: Eukaryota; Metazoa; Mollusca; Cephalopoda; Sepiida; Sepiidae
Source: RNAcentral